CCUACGGGAGGCAGCAGUGAGGAAUAUUGGUCAAUGGACGAGAGUCUGAACCAGCCAAGUAGCGUGAAGGAUGACUGCUCUAUGGGUUGUAAACUUCUUUUAUAUGGGAAUAAAAUGUUCCACGUGUGGGAUUUUGUAUGUACCCUAUGAAUAAGCAUCGGCUAACUCCGUGCCAGCAGCCGCGGUAAUACGGAGGAUCCGAGCGUUAUCCGGAUUUAUUGGGUUUAAAGGGAGCGUAGGUGGAUUGUUAAGUCAGUUGUGAAAGUUUGCGGCUCAACCGUAAAAUUGCAGUUGAAACUGGCAGUCUUGAGUACAGUAGAGGUGGGCGGAAUUCGUGGUGUAGCGGUGAAAUGCUUAGAUAUCACGAAGAACUCCGAUUGCGAAGGCAGCUCACUGGACUGCAACUGACACUGAGGCUCGAAAGUGUGGGGAUCAAACAGGAUUAGAUACCCGGGUAGUC
Molecule: ribosomal RNA, 460 nt
Filed under: uncultured bacterium
Lineage: Bacteria
Description: partial 16S ribosomal RNA
Rfam family: Bacterial small subunit ribosomal RNA
Source: RNAcentral